CGCGUGUACUGGUCCGGCCGGGUCUUUCCCUCUGUGGAACCCCAUGCCCUUCACUGGGUGUGGCGGGGAAACAGGACUUUUACUUUGAAAAAAUUAGAGUGCUCCAGGCAGGCCUAUGCUCGAAUACAUUAGCAUGGAGUAAUGAAAUAGGACGUGCGGUUCUAUUUUGUUGGUUUCUAGGACCGCCGUAAUGAUUAAUAGGGACAGUCGGGGGCAUCAGUAUUCAAUUGUCAGAGGUGAAAUUCUUGGAUCUAUUGAAGACUAACUACUGCGAAAGCAUUUGCCAAGGAUGUUCUCAUUGAUAAGGAACGAAAGUUAGGGGAUCGAAGACGAUCAGAUACCGUCGUAGUCUUAACUAUAAACUAUGCCGACUAGGGAUCGGACGAUGUUAUUUCUUGACGCGUUCGGCACCUUUCGAGAAAUCAAAGUGCUUGGGCUCCAGGGGGAGUAUGGUCGCAAGGCUGAAACUUAAAGAAAUUGACGGAAGGGCACCACCAGGGGUGGAACCUGCGGCUUAAUUUGACUCAACACGGGGAAACUCACCAGGUCCAGACACAGUGAGGAUUGACAGAUUGAGAGCUCUUUCUUGAUUCUGUGGGUGGUGGUGCAUGGCCGUUCUUAGUUGGUGGAGUGAUUUGUCUGCUUAAUUGCGAUAACGAACGAGACCUUAACCUGCUAAAUAGCCCGUACUGCUCUGGCAGUUCGCCGGCUUCUUAGAGGGACUAUCGG
This 729-nucleotide ribosomal RNA is filed under the name uncultured eukaryote. RNAcentral describes it as "SSU rRNA". It matches the Rfam family "Eukaryotic small subunit ribosomal RNA", at positions 670 to 1426 of the family's 1831-position model. The record is from RNAcentral.